RNAcentral lists this ribosomal RNA (467 nucleotides) under uncultured bacterium. Its description in RNAcentral is "partial 16S ribosomal RNA". It matches the Rfam family "Bacterial small subunit ribosomal RNA", at positions 28 to 523 of the family's 1533-position model. The record is from RNAcentral.
GAUGAAUGCUGGCGGCGUGCCUAACACAUGCAAGUCGAGCGGCAGCGCGAGUAGUUUACUACUUGGCGGCGAGCGGCGGACGGCUGAGUAACGCGUGGGAACGUGCCCCAAAGUGAGGAAUAACUGCCCGAAAGGGUGGCUAAUGCCGCAUAUGAUCUUCGGAUUAAAGUCUUCGGACGCUUUGGGAGCGGCCCGCGUCGGGUUAGGUUGUUGGUGAGGUAAUGGCUCACCAAGCCGACGAUCCGUAGCUGGUCUGAGAGGAUGAUCAGCCAGACUGGGACUGAGACACGGCCCAGACUCCUACGGGAGGCAGCAGUGAGGAAUCUUCCACAAUGGGCGAAAGCCUGAUGGAGCAACGCCGCGUGCAGGAUGAAUGCCUUCGGGUUGUAAACUGCUUUUAUAAGUGAGGAAUAUGACGGUAACUUAUGAAUAAGCACCGGCUAACUACGUGCCAGCAGCCGCCGUAA